UAUCUGUAUCUUUAUUAGUGGUAACUUAAUAAUCAAUUAAUAAAAGCAAGCUUCUAAAUACAGUUUUAAUCUAUGGUAAACAUAAUUUCACUUAACCAGAGAAUAAUCAUUUCACAUUAGGUUCUUUUGAUGCUUUUAUUUUUCAGGAUGAAGACAUUACGUGCAAUGCUACUGAUGCUGUUUGUUGCAUCAGUCUUUUCAAAACCAUUUGGUUUGCGCAGAAGAUUUGAUUCAUCGGACUCUGUGCGAUCUAGAUUCAGUUCAGGGGAAAAUGAUUCAAGCAGAGAAGACAGGAAGGAUUCACAGUCUGAUGGGAAUUCUGAAUCAAACGGGUGUAAAUCAAGUGAUUCUGAAUCUUCGGAGGAAGUUAUCAGCGUUGUGUCAAGCACAUUCCCUCCAGCUAGCACAGCAAGUCCAUCGACCGCUGGCAAGACAACAACAACAACAACACCAGCUACCACAACACAAGCCAUCACACAAUGUGUUACUGAAAGAAGGGGUGAUGAUAGUGUUGUUAUAAUAUCUUGCAGUACUUCUCCAUAAUCAUCAGUUGAAUGUUUAAAGAUGUACAGUUCAUUACAAUAUAAAGUCAAGUUUAUGUACUGAUAAUGAAGGUCUUGAUACUGAAUGAUGUAACUUUUAAAAUGAUUUACUUUUAAACUUCAUGUCACUAUUAUGGUUUUAAUUGCUUAU
Carassius carassius (crucian carp) is the source of this 693-nucleotide long non-coding RNA. RefSeq lists it as uncharacterized. NCBI's taxonomy places the organism in Eukaryota, Metazoa, Chordata, Actinopteri, Cypriniformes, Cyprinidae. The transcript has 2 exons. The record is from RefSeq and is a predicted model, not a curated record.